RNAcentral lists this transfer RNA (74 nucleotides) under bacterium. Its description in RNAcentral is "tRNA-Thr". It matches the Rfam family "tRNA". From Rfam's summary of the family: Transfer RNA (tRNA) molecules are approximately 80 nucleotides in length. Their secondary structure includes four short double-helical elements and three loops (D, anti-codon, and T loops). Further hydrogen bonds mediate the characteristic L-shaped molecular structure. tRNAs have two regions of fundamental functional importance: the anti-codon, which is responsible for specific mRNA codon recognition, and the 3' end, to which the tRNAs corresponding amino acid is attached (by aminoacyl-tRNA synthetases). tRNAs cope with the degeneracy of the genetic code in two manners: having more than one tRNA (with a specific anti-codon) for a particular amino acid; and 'wobble' base-pairing, i.e. permitting non-standard base-pairing at the 3rd anti-codon position. The record is from RNAcentral. RNAcentral also lists the same sequence under 1 other name.
GCCCGAGUAGCUCGUCUGGUCAGAGCACCGGUCUUGUAAACCGGAGGCAGUGGGUUCGAUUCCCACCUCGGGCU